This is a small nuclear RNA of Sciurus vulgaris (Eurasian red squirrel), 106 nucleotides long. Lineage: Eukaryota; Metazoa; Chordata; Mammalia; Rodentia; Sciuridae. The record is from Ensembl.
GUGCUUACUUCAAUAACACAUAUACUAAAAUUGGAAUGAUAUAAAGAGAUUAGCAUGGCCCCUGCACAAGGAUGACACAUAAGUUUGUGAAGCAGUUGUUCCAUAU